CCGAAUACCAACAAGUUGAGCACGGGAGACACACGGCGGGUGAUAAGGUCCGUCGUAGAAAGGGAAACAGCCCAGACCGUCAGCUAAGGUCCCAAAAUCUAUGCUCAGUGGGAAACGAUGUGGAAAGGCCCAGACAGCCAGGAGGUUGGCUUAGAAGCAGCCAUCCUUUAAAGAAAGCGUAAUAGCUCACUGGUCGAGUCGGUCUGCGCGGAAGAUUUACCGGGGCUAAGCAUAGUACCGAAGCUACGGGUUCAUCUUAGGAUGAGCGGUAGAGGAGCGUUCUGUACGCCUGCGAAGGUGAACUGAGAAGUUUGCUGGAGGUAUCAGAAGUGCGAAUGCUGACAUGAGUAACGAUAAUGGGGGUGAAAAACCCCCACGCCGAAAACCCCAAGGUUUUCCUGCGCAACGCUAAUCGACGCAGGGUUAGUCGGUACCUAAGGCGAGGCCGAAAGGCGUAGUCGAUGGCAAACAGGUUAAUAUUCCUGUACCGGUGGUAACUGCGAUGGGG
This 508-nucleotide ribosomal RNA is filed under the name uncultured bacterium. RNAcentral describes it as "bacterial LSU rRNA". It matches the Rfam family "Bacterial large subunit ribosomal RNA", at positions 956 to 1469 of the family's 2925-position model. The record is from RNAcentral.